UACAGAGACGGCAAGCGUUGUUCGGAUUCAUUGGGCGUAAAGGGCGUGUAGGCGGUUUGUUAAGUCAUGUGUGAAAUCCCUCGGCUCAACCUCGAGACGCCGAUGGAAACCAUGUGGCUAGAGUCCGGAAGAGGAGAGUGGAAUUCCUGGUGUAGCGGUGAAAUGCGCAGAUAUCAGGAAGAACACCCGUGGCUAAGGCGGCUCUCUAGUACGGUACUGACGCUGAGACGCGAAAGCGUGGGGAGCAAUCAGG
RNAcentral lists this ribosomal RNA (253 nucleotides) under uncultured bacterium. RNAcentral describes it as "partial 16S ribosomal RNA". It matches the Rfam family "Bacterial small subunit ribosomal RNA", at positions 524 to 776 of the family's 1533-position model. The record is from RNAcentral.